Molecule: non-coding RNA, 29 nt
Filed under: Rattus norvegicus (Norway rat)
Lineage: Eukaryota; Metazoa; Chordata; Mammalia; Rodentia; Muridae
Source: RNAcentral
UAUUGUAUCAGCUUCAUUGAGCCUGUGUG